RNAcentral lists this transfer RNA (76 nucleotides) under Actinomycetes bacterium. RNAcentral's name for it is "tRNA-Ala". It matches the Rfam family "tRNA". Rfam says of the family: Transfer RNA (tRNA) molecules are approximately 80 nucleotides in length. RNAcentral also lists the same sequence under 3 other names. Lineage: Bacteria; Bacillati; Actinomycetota; Actinomycetes. The record is from RNAcentral.
GGGGGUAUAGCUCAGUUGGUAGAGCACUUGACUGGCAGUCAAGGGGUCAGGGGUUCAAAUCCCCUUACCUCCACCA